AACUUUCAACAAUGGAUCACUUGGCUCUCGCAUCGAUGAAGAACGCAGCGAAAUGCGAAACGUAAUGUGAAUUGCAGAAUUCAGUGAAUCAUCGAAUCUUUGAACGCACCUUGCGCCCUUUGGUAUUCCGAGGGGCACACCCGUUUGAGUGUCGUGACAUUCUCAAAACCUUCUCGGUUUCUCGACCGGGAAGGCUUUGGACUUUGGAGGCUUUUGCUGGCAUUCCUUUGUUGGAGCCAGCUCCUCUGAAAUGAAUUAGUGGGGUCUGCUUUGCCGAUCCUUGACGUGAUAAGAUGUUUUCUACGUCUUGGGUUUUAGCACUCCUGCUUCUAACCGUCUCACAGUAGACAAAUGGUCCACUCGACCCACAAACCUUGACCUCAAAUCGGGUGAGACUACCCGCUGAACUUAAGCAUAUCAAUAAGCGGAGGCU
RNAcentral lists this unclassified non-coding RNA (433 nucleotides) under uncultured Russula. Its description in RNAcentral is "sequence contains ITS2". The stretch from base 1 to 154 matches the Rfam family "5.8S ribosomal RNA". Lineage: Eukaryota; Fungi; Basidiomycota; Agaricomycetes; Russulales; Russulaceae. The record is from RNAcentral.